UAAUACCGCAUAAAUCCAAGAACCGCAUGGUUGGCUGAAAGAUGGCCUAUCGCUUUUGGAUGGACCCGCGGCGUAUUAGCUAGUUGGGGUAACGGCUCACCAAUGAUACGUAGCCGAACUGAGAGGUUGAUCGGCCACAUUGGGACUGAGACACGGCCCAAACUCCUACGGGAGGCAGCAGUAGGGAAUCUUCCACAAUGGACGCAAGUCUGAUGGAGCAACGCCGCGUGAGUGAAGAAGGCUUUCGGGUCGUAAAACUCUGUUGUUGGAGAAGAAGGCAGAGUAACUGUCGGCGUGACGGUAUCCAACCAGAAAGCCACGGCUAACUACGUGCCAGCCGGUAAUACGUAGGCAAGCGUUAUCCGGAUUUAUUGGGCGUAAAGCGAGCGCAGGCGGUUUUUUAAGUCUGAUGUGAAAGCCCUCGGCUUAACCGAGGAAGUGCAUCGGAAACUGGGAAACUUGAGUGCAGAAGAGGACAGUGGAACUCCAUGUGUAGCGGUGAAAUGCGUAGAUAUAUGGAAGAACACCAGUGGCGAAAGCGGCUGUCUGGUCUGUAACUGACGCUGAGGCUCGAAAGCAUGGGUAGCGAACAGGAUUAGAUACCCUGGUAGUCCAUGCCGUAAACGAUGAAUGCUAGUGUUGGAGGGUUUCCGCCCUUCAGUGCCGCAGCUAACGCAUUAAGCAUUCCGCCUGGGGAGUACGACCCAAGGUUGAACUCAAGG
Molecule: ribosomal RNA, 722 nt
Filed under: Lacticaseibacillus rhamnosus
Lineage: Bacteria; Bacillati; Bacillota; Bacilli; Lactobacillales; Lactobacillaceae
Description: bacterial SSU rRNA
Rfam family: Bacterial small subunit ribosomal RNA
Source: RNAcentral